GGUGUCCGGAGAUGCCGCCGGGCUUGAAAAAUAUCGAUGUUCUAAGAGGAUACGUAUUUUAUACUGACUGCAAUAUAUUUUAUUCAUGUAUGAACAACAAACCUCGUCGUUUACAAUGCGAUGAGUAUUUCGCUUUUGACGAGGGCACUCAGUCUUGCAUUCCGGCACAUUUUGUAAUGUCUUGUACUAAAACACAAAAAUUAUAGCUUUCAGUGUUAUAAGACGAAAAGCUAACGGAGAAUACCUU
Molecule: unclassified non-coding RNA, 247 nt
Filed under: Melitaea cinxia (Glanville fritillary)
Lineage: Eukaryota; Metazoa; Arthropoda; Insecta; Lepidoptera; Nymphalidae
Description: misc RNA ENSMCXG00005003482.1
Source: RNAcentral